GGGCUGGUAGUUCAGCUGGUAGAGCGCCGGCUUCGCAAGUCGGAGGUCCCGGGUUCAAAUCCCGGCCAGUCCA
This 73-nucleotide transfer RNA is filed under the name archaeon. Its description in RNAcentral is "tRNA-Ala". It matches the Rfam family "tRNA". From Rfam's summary of the family: Transfer RNA (tRNA) molecules are approximately 80 nucleotides in length. The record is from RNAcentral.